ACCUACGGGAGGCAGCAGUGAGGAAUAUUGGUCAAUGGUCGGGAGACUGAACCAACCAAGCCGCGUGAGGGAUGAAGGUACAGAGUAUCGUAAACCUCUUUUGUCAGGGAACAAAGCCGGGGACGUGUCCCCGGAUGAGUGUACCUGAAGAAAAAGCAUCGGCUAACUCCGUGCCAGCAGCCGCGGUAAUACGGAGGAUGCGAGCGUUAUCCGGAUUUAUUGGGUUUAAAGGGUGCGCAGGCGGUCUGUUAAGUCAGCGGUCAAAGCCCGGGGCUCAACCCCGGCCCGCCGUUGAAACUGGCAGU
This 305-nucleotide ribosomal RNA is filed under the name uncultured bacterium. Its description in RNAcentral is "bacterial SSU rRNA". It matches the Rfam family "Bacterial small subunit ribosomal RNA", at positions 337 to 640 of the family's 1533-position model. The record is from RNAcentral.